This 422-nucleotide ribosomal RNA is filed under the name uncultured prokaryote. RNAcentral describes it as "bacterial SSU rRNA". It matches the Rfam family "Bacterial small subunit ribosomal RNA", at positions 34 to 455 of the family's 1533-position model. The record is from RNAcentral.
CGCUAGCGGCAGGCCUAACACAUGCAAGUCGAGGGGUAUUAGGAGCUUGCUUCUGAGAGACCGGCGCACGGGUGAGUAACGCGUAUGCAAUCUACCUUUCACAAGAGAAUAGCCCGGAGAAAUCCGGAUUAAUGCUCUAUAGUGUAUAGAACUGGCAUCGGUUUUAUAAUAAAGAUUUAUCGGUGAAAGAUGAGCAUGCGUCUCAUUAGCUAGUUGGUGUGGUAACGGCAUACCAAGGCAAUGAUGAGUAGGGGUCCUGAGGGGGAGAUCCCCCACACUGGUACUGAGACACGGACCAGACUCCUACGGGAAGGCAGCAGUGAGGAAUAUUGGUCAAUGGAGGCAACUCUGAACCAGCCAUGCCGCGUGCAGGAUGACGAUCCUAUGGAUUGUAAACUGCUUUUGUACAGGAAGAAAUGCAA